CCCGGGCCGCAGCAAAAUUUUCCAAGUCUACCGGUCCGUGGUAAUAAAAAGGUUGGGGACCACUGCUUUAGACAGUGUC
Long non-coding RNA from Poecilia latipinna (sailfin molly), 79 nucleotides. RefSeq lists it as uncharacterized. The record is from RefSeq and is a predicted model, not a curated record. The transcript has 3 exons. NCBI's taxonomy places the organism in Eukaryota, Metazoa, Chordata, Actinopteri, Cyprinodontiformes, Poeciliidae.